GGACUGGUAGUUUAGCGGCUGAGCUUUUUCAAAAAAACCUCGGAAAAACUCCGCAGAUAACGCUACCCUCACACGGUAGAGGCCGGAGGUUCGAAUCCUCCCCAGUCCA
This 109-nucleotide transfer RNA is filed under the name Nanobdellota archaeon. RNAcentral's name for it is "tRNA-Val". It matches the Rfam family "tRNA". From Rfam's summary of the family: Transfer RNA (tRNA) molecules are approximately 80 nucleotides in length. Their secondary structure includes four short double-helical elements and three loops (D, anti-codon, and T loops). Further hydrogen bonds mediate the characteristic L-shaped molecular structure. tRNAs have two regions of fundamental functional importance: the anti-codon, which is responsible for specific mRNA codon recognition, and the 3' end, to which the tRNAs corresponding amino acid is attached (by aminoacyl-tRNA synthetases). tRNAs cope with the degeneracy of the genetic code in two manners: having more than one tRNA (with a specific anti-codon) for a particular amino acid; and 'wobble' base-pairing, i.e. permitting non-standard base-pairing at the 3rd anti-codon position. The record is from RNAcentral. Lineage: Archaea; Nanobdellati; Nanobdellota.